Molecule: ribosomal RNA, 120 nt
Filed under: uncultured bacterium
Lineage: Bacteria
Description: partial 16S ribosomal RNA
Rfam family: Bacterial small subunit ribosomal RNA
Source: RNAcentral
CAUGCUGUAAACGUUGGGCACUAGGUGUGGGGGGCCUUUCCGGGUUUUCUGCGCCGUAGCUAACGCAUUAAGUGCCCCGCCUGGGGAGUACGGCCGCAAGGCUAAAACUCAAAGGAAUUG